This 491-nucleotide ribosomal RNA is filed under the name uncultured bacterium. RNAcentral describes it as "bacterial SSU rRNA". It matches the Rfam family "Bacterial small subunit ribosomal RNA", at positions 28 to 517 of the family's 1533-position model. The record is from RNAcentral.
GAUGAACGCUAGCGGCAGGCUUAACACAUGCAAGUCGAGGGGUAGAGGAAGCUUGCUUCCUUGAGACCGGCGCACGGGUGCGUAACGCGUAUACAAUCUACCUUUUACAGAGGGAUAGCCCCAGAGAAAUUUGGAUUAAUACCUCAUAGUAUUUUCGGAUCGCAUGAUUUGAUUAUUAAAGUUCCAACGGUAAAGAUGAGUAUGCGUCCAUUAGCUAGAUGGUAAGGUAACGGCUUACCAUGGCUACGAUGGGUAGGGGUCCUGAGAGGGAGAUCCCCCACACUGGUACUGAGACACGGACCAGACUCCUACGGGAGGCAGCAGUGAGGAAUAUUGGACAAUGGGCGCAAGCCUGAUCCAGCCAUGCCGCGUGCAGGAUGACGGUCCUAUGGAUUGUAAACUGCUUUUGUACAGGAAGAAACACUGGUUCGUGAACCGGCUUUGACGGUACUGUAAGAAUAAGGAUCGGGCUAACUCCGUGCCAGCAGCCG